RNAcentral lists this small RNA (78 nucleotides) under Flavobacterium crassostreae. Its description in RNAcentral is "Flavo-1 RNA". It matches the Rfam family "Flavo-1 RNA". The record is from Rfam by way of RNAcentral. Lineage: Bacteria; Pseudomonadati; Bacteroidota; Flavobacteriia; Flavobacteriales; Flavobacteriaceae.
AUCUAGCCCUGAUAGUAGUGAAAAUCCUACUGAGCCGGGGUUCGGCGAGGUAGAUUGUAACGGAUAGCAGGAAAUAGC